This 1066-nucleotide ribosomal RNA is filed under the name Bacillus subtilis. RNAcentral's name for it is "bacterial SSU rRNA". It matches the Rfam family "Bacterial small subunit ribosomal RNA", at positions 48 to 1096 of the family's 1533-position model. The record is from RNAcentral. Lineage: Bacteria; Bacillati; Bacillota; Bacilli; Caryophanales; Bacillaceae.
GCUAUACAUGCAGUCGAGCGGACAGAUGGGAGCUUGCUCCCUGAUGUUAGCGGCGGACGGGUGAGUAACACGUGGGUAACCUGCCUGUAAGACUGGGAUAACUCCGGGAAACCGGGGCUAAUACCGGAUGCUUGCUUGAACCGCAUGGUUCAAACAUAAAAGGUGGCUUCGGCUACCACUUACAGAUGGACCCGCGGCGCAUUAGCUAGUUGGUGAGGUAACGGCUCACCAAGGCAACGAUGCGUAGCCGACCUGAGAGGGUGAUCGGCCACACUGGGACUGAGACACGGCCCAGACUCCUACGGGAGGCAGCAGUAGGGAAUCUUCCGCAAUGGACGAAAGUCUGACGGAGCAACGCCGCGUGAGUGAUGAAGGUUUUCGGAUCGUAAAGCUCUGUUGUUAGGGAAGAACAAGUACCGUUCGAAUAGGGCGGUACCUUGACGGUACCUAACCAGAAAGCCACGGCUAACUACGUGCCAGCAGCCGCGGUAAUACGUAGGUGGCAAGCGUUGUCCGGAAUUAUUGGGCGUAAAGGGCUCGCAGGCGGUUCCUUAAGUCUGAUGUGAAAGCCCCCGGCUCAACCGGGGAGGGUCAUUGGAAACUGGGGAACUUGAGUGCAGAAGAGGAGAGUGGAAUUCCACGUGUAGCGGUGAAAUGCGUAGAGAUGUGGAGGAACACCAGUGGCGAAGGCGACUCUCUGGUCUGUAACUGACGCUGAGGAGCGAAAGCGUGGGGAGCGAACAGGAUUAGAUACCCUGGUAGUCCACGCCGUAAACGAUGAGUGCUAAGUGUUAGGGGGUUUCCGCCCCUUAGUGCUGCAGCUAACGCAUUAAGCACUCCGCCUGGGGAGUACGGUCGCAAGACUGAAACUCAAAGGAAUUGACGGGGGCCCGCACAAGCGGUGGAGCAUGUGGUUUAAUUCGAAGCAACGCGAAGAACCUUACCAGGUCUUGACAUCCUCUGACAAUCCUAGAGAUAGGACGUCCCCUUCGGGGGCAGAGUGACAGGUGGUGCAAGGUUGUCGUCACCUCCUGUCCUGAGAAGUUUGGGUUAAUUCCCGCACCAG